Molecule: ribosomal RNA, 468 nt
Filed under: uncultured bacterium
Lineage: Bacteria
Description: partial 16S ribosomal RNA
Rfam family: Bacterial small subunit ribosomal RNA
Source: RNAcentral
GACGAACGCUGGCGGCGUGCUUAACACAUGCAAGUCGAACGGAAAGGCCCUGCUUUUGUGGGGUGCUCGAGUGGCGAACGGGUGAGUAACACGUGAGUAACCUGCCCUUGACUUUGGGAUAACUUCAGGAAACUGGGGCUAAUACCGGAUAGGAGCUCCUGCUGCAUGGUGGGGGUUGGAAAGUUUCGGCGGUUGGGGAUGGACUCGCGGCUUAUCAGCUUGUUGGUGGGGUAGUGGCUUACCAAGGCUUUGACGGGUAGCCGGCCUGAGAGGGUGACCGGCCACAUUGGGACUGAGAUACGGCCCAGACUCCUACGGGAGGCAGCAGUGGGGAAUAUUGCACAGUGGGCGGAAGCCUGAUGCAGCAACGCCGCGUGCGGGAUGACGGCCUGCGGGUUGUAAACCGCUUUCGCCUGUGACGAAGCGUGAGUGACGGUAAUGGGUAAAGAAGCACCGGCUAACUACGUG